RNAcentral lists this long non-coding RNA (1002 nucleotides) under Sus scrofa (pig). RNAcentral's name for it is "lncRNA (ENSSSCG00070010587.1)". Lineage: Eukaryota; Metazoa; Chordata; Mammalia; Artiodactyla; Suidae. The record is from RNAcentral.
AUGGCCACAAGUCCAAGAAGAAGAUCACUGUAUAUUCCUAGACAAAAGUCCUUAGGAAAAUUUCAAACAGGUGAAUGGGCUGGAUUCUCCCCCACUUGGACCUCUGAGUUCCAAACCCUACUAGUGAGUCCCAGUCAUCUGCACCGGUCCAGGUCUGGCCCUCUUAUUCUUCAAUUCAAUCAUUCACAAGUAAAAAAGAACAACGCCGAACUCACCACUGAUUCAGAGCAGUAACACUGACAAUUUACUAUCUCUCUCUGUGCGCUGGUUCACCAAAGAGGCAGCACCCUUGAUCCAAUUAUUCCUUAAUGGGCACUCAUAUUUCCAAAUUAAAUUAAUGCUAGGUUUUGUCUUAUCUCACAUAAGUGGACGAUGCUUCACCUUCUUUAUCUUUAUUUUCUUACAUAACUCUGUAGAGUUCUGUUGACUUUUUGUAACAAUAAUAAUAACCAUCAAAAUUCAUGAAUCAGGAGUUCCCGUCAUGGCGCAGUGGUUAACGAAUCCGACUAGGAACCAUGAGGUUGCGGGUUCGAUCCCUGGCCUUGCUCAGUGGGUUAACGAUCCGGUGUUGCCGUGAGCUGUGGUGUAGGUCACAGAUGUGGCUCAGAUCCCACAUUGCUGUGGCUCUGGCGUAGGCCGGUGGCUACAGCUCCAAUUAGACCCCUAGCCUGGGAAUCUCCAUACGCUGCGGGAGCGGCCCAAGAAAUAGCACAAAGACAAAAAAAAAAAAAAAUUCAUGAAUCACAAAGAGGCAAGAACAAGAUUUUUGUGUGCAUUCCUAGUCUGUCUAGAGGAUCACUUCCAACAGAGGCCGCAGACUAGACGAUGCUGUAUAGUAGCUCAGAGGCAGAUGCAUGUUACCCACUACCCAUGAUUCAUACCCCACCAGUUAUCCCCGACUGGUCCAGGAUUUUCCUUCUUUCUCCUCAUUCAUUUGAACAGUUGUUGAUUUUUCAUUUUUAAGUGGAUUUUUCAUUUAAUAAAAUAUAUUUACUUUAAUCA